This 24-nucleotide non-coding RNA is filed under the name Arabidopsis thaliana (thale cress). Lineage: Eukaryota; Viridiplantae; Streptophyta; Magnoliopsida; Brassicales; Brassicaceae. The record is from RNAcentral.
GAACUUAUUUGUUUAUAAUUUGGU